GACGAACGCUGGCGGCGUGCUUAACACAUGCAAGUCGAACGGAAAGGCCCCUUUGGGGGUCCUCGAGUGGCGAACGGGUGAGUAACACGUGAGUAACCUGCCCUUGACUUCGGGAUAACUUCAGGAAACUGGGGCUAAUACCGGAUAGGAAUCCUUGAUGCAUGGUGGGGGUUGGAAAGCUUCGGCGGUUUUGGAUGGACUCGCGGCUUAUCAGCUUGUUGGUGGGGUAGUGGCUUACCAAGGCUUUGACGGGUAGCCGGCCUGAGAGGGCGACCGGCCACAUUGGGACUGAGAUACGGCCCAGACUCCUACGGGAGGCAGCAGUGGGGAAUAUUGCACAAUGGGCGGAAGCCUGAUGCAGCAACGCCGCGUGCGGGAUGACGGCCUUCGGGUUGUAAACCGCUUUCAGCAGGGGCGAAGCUUGUGGUGACGGUACCUGCAGAAGAAGCACCGGCUAACUACGUG
RNAcentral lists this ribosomal RNA (465 nucleotides) under uncultured bacterium. RNAcentral describes it as "partial 16S ribosomal RNA". It matches the Rfam family "Bacterial small subunit ribosomal RNA", at positions 28 to 507 of the family's 1533-position model. The record is from RNAcentral.